Molecule: long non-coding RNA, 1316 nt
Organism: Meriones unguiculatus (Mongolian gerbil)
Lineage: Eukaryota; Metazoa; Chordata; Mammalia; Rodentia; Muridae
Exons: 2
Source: RefSeq, a predicted model, not a curated record
GUGGCUAGCCCAAGGCAAAGGACCUGAAGGACAAUGCAAACCACCACUGUAAAAACCAGUGCACAUAAUGCAAGGAGGAAGGUCAUUGGGUCAGAUAUUGCCACAAAAAGGGACCCAGGAAUCAGAAUAAGUUCCUGGCUCUGGAGGAUCAGCAUUUGUGUUGAAGUUUGAAUUUGUCUCAGCAGAUUUUCACCUGGUUGAGACUGCAAGCUGAGAUCUGCACUUGCUGGAAGCUGACAUGAUUGCUCACUGCCUCCUUGGAUGGAUCACCUACCCAGACGUUUCUGAGGACUGCCCCACUGCGCAGCCUUUGGCUGGCAUUUGAGUCUUCCUAGCCCCUGAUGCCAAGAGAGCUAUUGUCAUCAUUAAAGCAGUUUCAGAAGAAGAGACCACCGGCCCCAAAUCCCACCAACAGGCUGAAAUGCUAGGUCAAAUGGGACUCCUUGACAUUAGCUAUUAUCUUGGGGACAGGUUUUGCUGGAGCAUAAAUUAGUGUUCCAAUACUUGAUGUACAAAGCGAGAAUUAUAACAGCUCAAAAGCAGAAUCUUUUGCUAUUGGUCAUUUUUGGAUUAUGCUUACUUAAUAAGUUGUUAGGAUAUAUUAGGCAAAGACUGGAGACUAUACAGUUGAUGAUAAUUGGAACCCAGUACUGCCAGCUUGGAGAUGACCUUGAACUCUAAGAGCCCAUAUUGGCCUCUUCAGGUACAUGGAAAAGGAAAAAUAAAGAGUUUAAGUUAGCCUGGGCAUAGGUAGCCUGAGUAUAACUCCAUUUUUAAAAUAAAGAGCCAUCUUGACUGGGAGCUGAAUUCAGGUACCAGGUAAUAUCACAAAAUGUGCACCUGGCAGAAAACAAAGUUAACUCUCCUAGCAACCGCUUUCAGGAAAUAUCACAGAAUAAAUACUUCAUAGAAAAUAGAGACAAUCUCCCUGGCAAUAAUCAAUGAAAAUUGGUUGAGAAUCAUGUGGGAAAAUUCUCCCCAUGUUUCAGAUAUAGAUUAAAAGAAUAGCCAUUGUGAUCAUAAGUCUUAGGCAAUUGUGCCUAAGCCAAGCAUAUGCCUUAGGCAAUUGUGAUUCAGAGGUCUCCUCAGCCCUCUAACUUUUACCUAAUCCUGUAAUGUCAAGGCAUAGGACGCCAUUUGCUGUCAUAGAAACAUGUGCCCCCCUGUUUGUUGUCAUGGAAACACCCUGAUCACAGACUUUCCCUUUAAAAACCCUGCUCACUCAGGGCUCAAGGUUCCACUUCUCUACUGCUGCAUCAGUGAGACUUGCUUCCCGAGUUUGAGUAUUCUCUUAAUAAAGCUCUCUUGCUAUUGCA